This 294-nucleotide ribosomal RNA is filed under the name uncultured bacterium. Its description in RNAcentral is "partial 16S ribosomal RNA". It matches the Rfam family "Bacterial small subunit ribosomal RNA", at positions 775 to 1067 of the family's 1533-position model. The record is from RNAcentral.
GGAUUAGAUACCCUGGUAGUCCACGCCCUAAACGAUGUCAACUAGACGUUGGCCCCAUUUAAGGGGUUAGUGUCGAAGCUAACGCGUUAAGUUGACCGCCUGGGGAGUACGGCCGCAAGGUUGAAACUCAAAGGAAUUGACGGGGGCCCGCACAAGCGGUGGAGCAUGUGGUUUAAUUCGAUGCAACGCGAAGAACCUUACCAGCCCUUGACAUCCUCGGAACUUUGUAGAGAUACAUUGGUGCCUUCGGGAAUCGAGUGACAGGUGCUGCAUGGCUGUCGUCAGCUCGUGCUG